CCCUUAGAGUUUGAUCCUGGCUCAGGAUGAACGCUGGCGGCGCGCCUAACACAUGCAAGUCGAACGGCACCCAUCUUCGGAUGGAAGCGAGUGGCGAACGGCUGAGUAACACGUGGAGAACCUGCCCCCUCCCCCGGGAUAGCCGCCCGAAAGGACGGGUAAUACCGGAUACCCCGGGGUGCCGCAUGGCACCCCGGCUAAAGCCCCGACGGGAGGGGAUGGCUCCGCGGCCCAUCAGGUAGACGGCGGGGUGACGGCCCACCGUGCCGACAACGGGUAGCCGGGUUGAGAGACCGACCGGCCAGAUUGGGACUGAGACACGGCCCAGACUCCUACGGGAGGCAGCAGUGGGGAAUCUUGCGCAAUGGGGGGAACCCUGACACAGCGACGCCGCGUGCGGGACGGAGGCCUUCGGGUCGUAAACCGCUUUCAGCAGGGAAGAGUCAAGACUGUACCUGCAGAAGAAGCCCCGGCUAACUACGUGCCAGCAGCCGCGGUAAUACGUAGGGGGCGAGCGUUAUCCGGAUUCAUUGGGCGUAAAGCGCGCGUAGGCGGCCCGGCAGGCCGGGGGUCGAAGCGGGGGGCUCAACCCCCCGAAGCCCCCGGAACCUCCGCGGCUUGGGUCCGGUAGGGGAGGGUGGAACACCCGGUGUAGCGGUGGAAUGCGCAGAUAUCGGGUGGAACACCGGUGGCGAAGGCGGCCCUCUGGGCCGAGACCGACGCUGAGGCGCGAAAGCUGGGGGAGCGAACAGGAUUAGAUACCCUGGUAGUCCCAGCCGUAAACGAUGGACGCUAGGUGUGGGGGGACGAUCCCCCCGGGCCGCAGCCAACGCAUUAAGCGUCCCGCCUGGGGAGUACGGCCGCAAGGC
RNAcentral lists this ribosomal RNA (869 nucleotides) under uncultured bacterium. RNAcentral's name for it is "bacterial SSU rRNA". It matches the Rfam family "Bacterial small subunit ribosomal RNA", at positions 1 to 894 of the family's 1533-position model. The record is from RNAcentral.